GACGGAGGGUGCGAGCGUUGUCCGGAAUCAUUGGGCGUAAAGGGCGCGUAGGUGGCCACUUCAAGCGUGCGGUGAAAGUCGGGGGCUCAACCCCUGAUCGGCCGUGCGAACUGGGGGGCUGGAGCACUGUAGAGGCUAAUGGAAUUCCGGGUGUAGCGGUGGAAUGCGUAGAGAUCCGGAAGAACACCGGUGGCGAAGGCGGUUAGCUGGGCAGUUGCUGACACUGAGGCGCGACAGCGUGGGGAGCAAACAGGG
Molecule: ribosomal RNA, 255 nt
Filed under: uncultured bacterium
Lineage: Bacteria
Description: partial 16S ribosomal RNA
Rfam family: Bacterial small subunit ribosomal RNA
Source: RNAcentral